Molecule: ribosomal RNA, 402 nt
Filed under: Fusobacteriota bacterium
Lineage: Bacteria; Fusobacteriati; Fusobacteriota
Description: Fusobacteria bacterium partial 16S ribosomal RNA
Rfam family: Bacterial small subunit ribosomal RNA
Source: RNAcentral
UGGGGAAUUUUGCACAAUGGGGGAAACCCUGAUGCAGCGACGCCGCGUGAUUCAGAAGGCCUUCGGGUUGUAAAAAUCUUUUCUAUGGGAAGAAAAUGACAGUACCAUAGGAAUAAGGACCGGCUAAUUACGUGCCAGCAGCCGCGGUAAUACGUAAGGUCCGAGCGUUGUCCGGAAUCAUUGGGCGUAAAGGGUACGUAGGCGGGUAAGCAAGUUAGAAGUGAAAUCCUAUAGCUCAACUAUAGUAAGCUUUUAAAACUGCUCAUCUUGAGGUAUGGAAGGGAAAGUGGAAUUCCUAGUGUAGCGGUGAAAUGCGCAGAUAUUAGGAGGAAUACCGGUGGCGAAGGCGACUUUCUGGCCAUAACCUGACGCUGAGGUACGAAAGCGUGGGUAGCAAACAGG